GACGAACGCUGGCGGCGUGCUUAACACAUGCAAGUCGAACGGAAAGGCCCUGCUUUUGUGGGGUGCUCGAGUGGCGAACGGGUGAGAAACAAGUGAGUAACCUGCCCCUGACUUUGGGAUAACUUCAGGAAACUGGGGCUAAUACCGGAUAGGAGCUCCUGCUGCAUGGUGGGGGUAGGAAAGUUUCGGCGGUUGGGGAUGGACUCGCGGCUUAUCAGCUUGUUGGUGGGGUAGUGGCUUACCAAGGCUUUGACGGGUAGCCGGCCUGAGAGGGUGACCGGCCACAUUGGGACUGAGAUACGGCCCAGACUCCUACGGGAGGCAGCAGUGGGGAAUAUUGCACAAUGGGCGGAAGCCUGAUGCAGCAACGCCGCGUGCGGGAUGACGGCCUUCGGGUUGUAAACCGCUUUCGCCUGUGACGAAGCGUGAGUGACGGUAAUGGGUAAAGAAGCACCGGCUAACUACGUG
Molecule: ribosomal RNA, 468 nt
Filed under: uncultured bacterium
Lineage: Bacteria
Description: partial 16S ribosomal RNA
Rfam family: Bacterial small subunit ribosomal RNA
Source: RNAcentral